AAAAUUAAAAUUAAAAAGUAAUAUAUUUUAGUGAUCAUGGGUCAUUGAUAUCAUGGCUAUUGUGAGAGAAUAGUAAGCAAAUCAGUACCCUUCAUAGCCAUAUAUUCCUUGAUUAAGGACAUCCCGAAACUUAUCAGGUAUUCACAGUCUAUCAUCCAGUCACAAAUUAAGAGGCUGAGGAAGAAAAGCAAAAGUCCUGGAAAAUGAUCUAACCAAAAAAGGCACAGGUAAAAAUAAUCCCACUGUUGGAAUAAGGACCAGAGUGAGAUGAUGAUGGGACUUAGGGCAUGAGCACCAAAUCUGAUUUAAUCACCAUCCCUCCUGUGAGGACCUUACACACUCAUUUCAUUUGUGCUGCCAACAGCCCUAUUAAAUAGCCACAUAAUCAGCAGCAUCUUCAUUUUCCAGAACAAUACCUAAGACACAAAGGAGCUAAGUUAACUUGUCCAUGACCAUGAAACUAAUCAGCAUCCCGUAUCUUUCAAUACCCUGGCCAGAGCCUGCACAGAUUUCUAUUAUUCUUUUUGUGCCUUUCACUUCUGUAUCAAUAAUAUAUAACUGGUUCUCCAGCAGAAACUUGAGUAUAACUCAAACCUCUACUUGUACCUGAUGAAUAAAUGACAUUGAAUUUAGGACACAAGUAGUAGGGAAGAUUACCUUUGCAGUGGGUAGAAUCCAAAUUGACUUUACCCGCCACAAAUUGGGACAUCUUCCAAGUGCACAGGCCCAAUUUCAGAGCAGGAAGGCAUCUCAUCUAUCCUGAUGUCCGGAAUCUAUUCUGAGGCAUGAUUCUCUUCUGUAAGCACACUAUACUUCUUUGAAUCUCUUCUUUCACUGUAACAGAAUAGCACUCCUGUGACACUUGGGGAAUCCCUUCACAGCCAGUGUGAGAGGGAGUAAUAAGAAACUCUUUUUUUUUUUUUUUCCUAAGAAGGGCAAAGUGUCCACACUUUGGUCUUCCUUCUUCUUGAGUUUCAUGUGUUUUGAAAUGAUCUAGCCAAACAAGGCACAGUUAAAAAUAAUACCACUGUUGGAAUAAGGACCAGAAUGAGAUGAUGAUGGGACUUAGGGCACGAGCACCAAAUCUGAUUCAAUCAGUAUCCCUCCUGUGAGGACCUUACACACUCAUGAUUUCAUUUGUGCUGCCAACAGCCCUAUUAACAGUUACAUCAGUGAGUACAUAUCAUGUGAGUUCUUUUGUGAUUGGGUUACCUCACUCAGGUUGCUACCCUCCAGAUUCAUUCCAUUUGCCUAGGAAUUUCAUAAAUUCAUUGUUUUUAAUAGCUGAGUAGUACUUCAUUGUGUAAAUGUACCACAUCUUCUGUAUCCAUUCCUCUGUUGAGGGACAUCUGUGUUCUAUGAACAUAGUGGAGCAUGCGUUCUUAUUACCAAUUGGAACAUCUACUGCAUAUAUGCCCAGGAGACUUAUUGCUGGAUCCUCUGGUAGUACUAUGUCCAAUUUUCUGAGGAACUGCCAGACUGAUCUCCAGAGUGGUUGUACCAGCUUGCAAUCCUACCAACAAUGGAGAAGUGUUCCUCUUUCUCCACAUCCUCACCAGCAUCUGCUGUCACCUGAAUUUUUGAUGUUAGCCAUUCUGACUGGUGUGAGAUGGAAUCUCAGGAUUGUUUGAUUUGCAUUUUCCUGAUGAUUAAGGAUGUUGAACAUUUUUUUCAGGUGCUUCUCAGCCAUUUGAUAAUCUUCAGUUGAGAAAUCUUUGUUUAGCUCUGUGCCCCAUUUUUUAAUGGGGUUAUUUGAUUUUCUGGAGACCACCUUCUUGAGUUCUAAUUGGGAACAAAACACCCAUGGAAGGAGUUACAGAGACAAUGUUUGGAGCUGAGAGGAAAGGAUGGACCAUCCAGAGACUGCCCCACCCAGGGAUCCAUCCCAUAAUCAGCCACCAAAUGCAGACACUAUUGCAUACACCAGGAAGAUUUUGCUGAAAGGACCCUGAUAUAGCUGUCUCUUGUGAGGCUAUGCCAGUGCCUGGAAAAUACAGAAGUGGAUGCUCACAGCCAGCUAAUGGAUGGGACACAGGGUCCCCAAUGGAGGAGCUAGAAAAAGUACCCAAGGAGCUGAAGGGGUCUGCCACCCUAUAGGUGGAACAACAAUAUGAACUAACCAGUACCCCCAGAGCUCGAGUCUCUGGCUGCAUAUGUAGCAGAAGAUGGCCUAGUCGGCCAUCAUUGAGAAGAGAGGCCCCUUGGUCUUGCAAACUUUAUAUGCCCCAGUACAGGGGAACUCCAGGGCCAAGAAGUGGGAGUGGGUGGGUAGGGGAACAGGGGCAGGGGAGGGUAUAGGAGACUUUUGGAAUAGCAUUUGAAAUGUAAAUGAAGAAAAUACCUAAUAACAAAUUGAAAAAAGAAAAAAAAAAGAAACUUGUUGUUGUUGUUAAUCUGUUUGGAAGGGCAACUGCUCUAGGCUAAUAGCUAAAAUUCUCACAGAUUAGAGAUGAAACUGAAACUGCUGCUUUGCAGGAUUCGGAUGUGAUUCAUGUGAAAACUUCAAACUACAAAGUUGCCUUAGAAGAUGUGUCCUCGUCCUAGAAUCUGGAGAGAGAUAAAGAUAUAAGUAGAUACAGAUUCACAGAAGUUAGAAGAAACAGGAAAAGAGAAUGUGGAGAGUAUUAUUCCAUGCAGUGAGAGGGGACAUAGGCAAUGGUGGUAUGCUGCAAACUGUCUAGGCGUUUGUAUCAAAAAAACCAAUGGAUUAGCAAUAAAUGCCAUAGGAACAGAUUUGGCACUUCCUAGUAAAUGCCAGUAGGAAACAUGCCUUGUGUCUUCCUUACUCCUGACAUUGUCUAAGAUUCUAAUUUUGUAUCUGGGAUUCCUUUGUGUAAGACAGUUUUCCAUGAAUACAUCACAGUUUGGCAUGGCAUGGGACCCCAGAAUUAAAAUUCUUGCUGACAUUGUUUCUGAGACUAUCCGUCUAGUAACUGUCCUUGGAGAGUAAAUACAAUUCUUUCCAAAUCAGAGGACAGUUUGUUUCUAAUGGGGAUAAGGAACAGAAUAUGGCUUGUGAUUUGACUUCGGCAUUCCAACACAAGCUCAGAUUUUAGGUGCUUUUGGGGGAUUCAGGAAGUAAAAAAGUGGAAGGCUGUACUGAGUAUAUAUUAUCCUCCAUUCUCUUUGACUCCUAUUUGUGUGUUGGUGAGAAUCCCACUAUAGUCUCCCAUUGCCAUGAUGUUCUUGCUUUAGCAGUGGAACCAAGCAACCACAGAUGAAACUCUAUGGAACAUGAGUUGAAAAAAUACCCUUCCUUCUAUUAAGUAGCUUAUGUCAGGCAUUGCUGUCACAAUGAUAAGGAAAGUUAACUGACAUAACUUUCUCCCUAGGAAUGUUCCACACGACCUCUCUCAUCUUCCCAAAGACAUGACCACAUGGAAGGAUGAGUUCAAUGGCCCCAUCUCCUCAAAGAAGAGGAUGGGAAGGUAACCAACCACCUUGAUGAGAUCAAAGCAUUUCCUCACUUGAAGUGUCUGGUCCACUCUUGGAUAUAACCCAUACAUACUCAAGUGUCAUCUUGCCUUUCUCAUGAAAUACUGUUUGCACUGAGACCACAACCAACAUAAGAAAUCACUGUUAAAUUCUUGUUAUAAACAGUGUCUUUAUGUUUGAUUAAAAUAUUAUGACUUUUACAUUUUUAUGUGUUUUACGUGCACGUAUAUCUGUACAACCAACACUUGCAUGUCUGGUGUCUAUGGAAGCCAGAAGCAGGGGUUAAAUUGCCUUGAACUGGGAUCACAUAUAAUUGUAAGCUACCGUGUGGGCGCUGGGAAUCAAGUCCAGGUCUGCUUAUAAGAAGCAUAGAAGAGUGACAUAUGCUUCUAACCACCAAACCAUCUCUCUAGUCUCCAAUCCUAUGCUUUUUGAUCCAUGUGUAUACCGGAAGAUAUCUAUAUUUAUGUACAUAGUAUCUACUGGUGACAGAAUUACUAGCCUAUAAGCAGGCUACAGACUCACAUGCAGAAUCAUGGCUUCUAGCUUCAUAAUCCCAAGUCUCAGCACAGUGAUCUUUCCACUGAAAAGUCAGCAAUGUGUUGUCAUACCUGGAGUUGUGGCAUUCCUUACUGCUUAGUACCACCUGCUGCUACCCAGACAUUAGAUCCUUGAGACAUAGGACCCCAAGUCCCCUCAGAUAUUUACAUUCUCACAAUAAUCCCCUACCUGAUAUCACGUAUUAACAAAAUGAGUGAGUAUCAGAACUUCUCCUUCCUCUAUAUUUCCUUCCUUAAGUCCUCCAUCUGGUAGUCAUGAAAAGCAAUCUUGCAAGGUACUAGAGAGAUACUCAAAGAUACUAUGGAAUGUCCCAACUGGAAACAGCAGAGGGAGACCCUGCCAUGGCUAGAAUUGAAGAAUUGACCCAGGGAGCAGGAUGACAAAAUUCCAGCAAAAGUAAAAGAAUGGAAAUAUCAGAUGAUAGAAGGGGGAGAGAAAACAGCGGUGGGGAUGAGGUAAAUUCUGAAGGAAAGCACCAUAGAGAAGAAAUUGUGCAGAAAAUUAGUAAAAGAAGGCCCAACCAGGAAGACAAAAUAGCCUCCUCACGAUGCUUAGACAAUACAAGGAUGAAGGUCCUUUUACAUAGCUUGGAUCCUAUUAACAUACCCAUUGAUCACAUGAGAAAACUGAGACCCCAAGAGCUAAGCACAUCUAUUAACUCACCUUUCCCCACCAAGGCCCAGGGAAGCAAAUCUGAGCAAUGCCUAUGUUUUGUCUUCACGUGGCUUAUUUUCUCUCCUGGUUCAUUCUGAGAAGCUGUCACAGGAAGCCUCAGAUUUGCAGUUUCUUAUAGUAAGGGGGGAGGGAGGGGGUGGUGAGGGUUGUCACAUCCAGAAAGACAACUGUGCUGUUUGCCUGGCUGUUGUUUACAAAGGACAGAUCAUGCCAGACACAUACACUGUAUCUUUGACAGGCUUACGAGACAAUGGACCAGAGCAGCCCAGGAACAGUGUGCGUUCGGAUGGUCAAUGAGACAUCUGAAGUUCCUUAGAAAAAUUUCACUUGCAAAUUCAUUCAAAUUGACUAAGAGAGCAGACUAAAGCCUUCCUGAACUUAAAAUAAAUAAAUAAAUAUAAAACAGUAAGAAUGGAGGACUUCCAAGGGAGGAUAUGAGAGUUCAGAGGGGCCCUGAGGAGCCAACACAACUCAUUGCAUCCAGCAUCCAGCAAAGAAAGUCAGGGGAUGGAGAUGGGAAAAGAAAAUCUAGCUUCAUGGCUCUCAGCAACUGCACUAUUUCCCAGGGGCCUCUGCAGAAGAGAAACGCUACUUAACCAACUUCUUGUAGCUACUGCCUAGGAAAGAAGAAACACACACGUUCUGAAGGCACUUGGUGAAUAUGAAGUGUGGUACAAAUGGCAAUAACAAUGUCAAAUUUUAUUUAACAUCCUCAUUAAGGACUCUGAGUGGAACAGGCCAGCUGCUAAUGAAAUCUACACAGUCCUGAAUUGGACUCUGCUGGCAACAGCAGAGCUCAGACAAGCUAACACCCAAGGGUAAGCAAACCCUCCAGGACCGAGGGUUUGGCGUCUCUCAGCUGCCAACCCCUACCAAGGGACCAGAGGGGAAACCCCAUCCUGUAUCUUACCUCUCCAUGCUUUUCCAGGUGAAGUUGGAUUCAAAUACAGGAUGUGAGCUCUCUGCUAUGCCUACCUAAGGCAUGAGAAUAUGUAAAGAGGAUUGGGGGAGCUGUGUCUUAAACUUUAGGAACAGCAUAGCACACUUAGAGAGUAAAGAGCAGUUUCAGUGUCUGUGGAGAAGUCACAAAUGCUCAUCUCAGGGGACUGGGCUAGCAGGUCUAGAUUCCAAGACACUGCAACCUCCUUGCUCUUCUGUCCUCAAAGAAAAUAGUGUGGAAUUAUAAGCCUGCAACUCUAGGCAAGACCAAGGUACCAACAAUCAGCCUAGGGAUCUCAUGGAUGUACCCAUAAGACAACCCAAGCAUCUACAAAAACCACACUCCAUGUGGUCCAUGAUCAGCCCUUUCUUACCUUCUCAUUUAUCGCCACCAUAGGCAUCGCUGCAGUUUACUGAACCACCACCAACCCCCUGACCCUAGGUACAUAAUAUCCCCUAACCAAGAAUGCUCUUCUCUUCUCUCCUUGCCUAGGUUGACAAACCUAUCUUUUUACUGAACUCUGCAAUGCAAUAGCUGCUCUGGCUGUCUGUUUGCCAUGUUUCCAGCAUAUCUUCUAUCACCUCAGCUCACACUUGUUGUCUACUAUCUGUACUAUGCUGAGAGUUGUGGAGAGAACACGACAAUAAUUAGACAGACCUGAUCUCUACUGUUCAAGAAAGGUAGUGGCCUCCUACCCAGCUACAUAUUUGAAUCACAUGAGCAGCUUCCUGUAAAUAUCAUUGUCUUCCCAUUGCAGUGGUCUGAUGAGCAAUAUAUCUCAACACAGUGGUACAAUGGCAGCUUCUCAGAAUGUCCUAGUAAGAUUUAUAAAACACUGAUGUUUGUUCCUGUUACCAGUCAUUUCAAUCAAAGUAUUUGGGAUACAGGCACAAUGGUAUUUUUCAUGUCCCCAAGACAGUCUUGAGAAUGGCCAAGAUUGACAGCCAAUUGUUAACAUGGAGAUAGAUAUCAAUUACCUGCCACAAUGCUAGCAAAGGUAAGCGUUCCUUCUUGCUAGUAUAUAAACUCUUUAAAUAAACUCUUUAAAUGCAAUGAUUUGUAUGCAUUGUCAGGGCCUGUUAUUGGGCAUUGUAUACCACAAUUCCUAUCUAAUAUGUAUAGAAAAGAUGAAAACAAAAGAAUAGCUCUCCUCUGUGUUCUAUAGAGUGUUGGCAUGUUAGAGUUCUAACAAACUGCCACAAAGGGUGUGGCUUAAAUUGUAGAAGAUUUUUAAACCCACAGUGCUAGAGGUCAGACAACCAAAAUCAAAAUGUUGCCAAAGUUGACUCCUCUGAGGGAAUCUAAGGGUGAUUUUGUUCUAACUCUCAUUUCCAAUUUCUGAUAGUUCACUGACAAAUUUUGCCAUUCUUUGGCUUGCAGACAUGUCACUUUAGUCUGUGUUCUCUGGCUCAUAUUGCAUUCUCCUUGUGUGCCUGUGUGUCUCUAUGUUUGGAGUGUCUCAUUUUUAAUGACACAUUCUUAUUAGAUUCAGAAAUGUUCUAACAAUCUCGUUCUAACUUGAUCAUUUCAGUGAUUCUAUUUCCAAAUAAAGUGACAUUUACAGAUACCCAGUGUUAGGACUUUAACACCUUCUAGGAAGACAACCCAUCAUACGUGGAAAGCAAAAGUCUUUCUUUUGUGGGAGGAAGGGAAAGGGACAACCUUGAGUGAGGAAAAUAUGUUCUAAGGCUGUAUUAGAGCCUCCUGUUCUAACAAAAGUGCAAUUAGAACUUCUAGCAUCUCUGGUGAGCAAAAAGCCGAGAGGAGGACUGGAUUUGCAAAAUGGUGAAUCAGCAAAUGCUUCUCCCAAGGCGCCUUGCCUAUAUUCCAGUUCUUAAUUGGUCACAAGGUAGCUAGUUGGCUGCCACAUCUAUGUGAACUGGGAAAAAGAAACCUUGCUCUAAGGUACUGCCUGAUUUCACUUAUGCUAUUGCUCUCUUGGAGAUAUUAGAAAUUCAAUUAUUAUUUUUUAAAAUAAAUAGCAACAAUUCCUACAUAAUCAGUUAUCAGUGGUAGAAUGCACACAUUAUAGUAACAGCAAUUAGGGGAACUCGGGAAAAUGCAAGAUCAUCCUUAAUGAUACCUGCACCCUUUAUCUGGCCCACCUUCAUUCAAAGUACAUAUUAAAACAUAUGUUAAAACACCAUAUAUUUGGAUUACUGAUAGGUUGUUUUAGGUGAGUCCAGGAAAGAAAAACACUUAAAGACGUAACUUCUACUCCAGCUUCUAUUUUUAAUUAAAAAAAAAAAACCUUUAAGACAGCAUAUGGUUUUUUUAUUAUUAUUUUAUUUAUAUGAGUACACUGUAGUUUUCUUCAGACAUGCCAGAAGAGGGCAUCAGGUUCUAUUACAGGUGUUUGUAAGCUACCAUGUGGUUGCUGGGAAUUGAACUCAAGAUCUUUGGAAGAGAAGUCAGUGCUCUGAACUGAUCACUGAGCAAUCUUUCCACCACACCCCCACCUUCUAUCUUAAUUCUAUCAAUAGGUUGCUCCUGUAUUAGUUACUCUUCUCAUUGAUAAGAUGAAAUACCUGACAGAAGUGACUUAAGGAAGGAAAGGCUCACUCAUGCUCAUGGCGUUAGGGGGCAGAUUCCAUCAUGUACCAUGGCAUAGAUGGCUUGGGAUUGGGAAAGUCUUAAUUCAAGAUGAUGGGAGAGUACAGUAAAACCAGUAAAAAAUUCUCCAGGUGGCCUCUGACCAGGAAACAAGUGUACAAACAAAAGCCAGGAUAGAUAUCACCUUCAAAGUCCCAUUCCUACUGAUAUAUUUCCGUGAGCCAGUUCCCCUUCUCAAGGGUUCCAAACCCUUCCCAUUUCUACAACUAGUGACCAAGUAUUCAAAACAAGACCGAUGGGAAGAAUUUACACUCAAACCAUAAUUUGGUAGUACAUACGUAGUUUCUCAUAAUGAAAACCCAAGAGUUUGAACUUCGUUAAACACUCAAAGCAACUUGUGUCUUAGAGUCACAUUAGGAAGAAAAGUUCUCUUUAGAUCUGGCUACAGGACAACCAAUGAUUGACAAGGCUUGAGCCAGGGUUCUGCUCCUGAUAGUAUUCACCAUGAAUCCCAUGGACUGGUGCCUCAGCUGUAGCUGGGAUUGGCACAUAAACUGAACCUACUAGGUGAGGUGGGGCUUUUUAAACGUGUUUUCAGGGGUUGACAAUUAAUUAAGGAAGUUCUCAAGUCUUCAACUAUUCUUACUGAGGCUUUAAGCAAUUCUGAAACACUGUUACUUAUGACUGAUAGCUGCCACGAAAGAUGCUAAUGUAGGAGAAAUCAAAGAUUCUUCACAUUUUUCUUAGAACAAGGAAAAAAGCUUAAUUGUAGUGUCCUAUGGCACGGAUCCUUGACCUGGUUCUCUCUCCAGCUGCAUGCUAUUGUGAACAUCAUUUCCCUCACUCUCAUCCCCAGUGUUCUCAGACAUUUAGUGGAGAUAAUAAUAGCUAAGCACUCUAUAUACAUUUAAUUACUUCAUGCUUAAAAUAGCCUUUUGAAACAUUACUAUUAUAUCCCUACAUAAAUGUAAGAUCAAGUCAUAGAGAAUUAGCUUGCCUAUAUACACAACACUAGUGAAUUUAGAUUUGAAGCAGCCAACCUCCUUCUAAUAUCUUUCCUUUCUACCACUCUCCUAUAGUGAUGACAUAAUAAUAAAAAUAAGUGUCACCAGGCACACUAGAGAUUACUUCAAAUAAGGCACAUAUGAACACUUAAAAACUACUUAAGAGAAGUUUGCCUGCACUACUUAUAAUCGUGGAGUAGAAUUUCAGCCAUUGUUGUAUAGGUGAAUAUUUGCAUUCUAUCUUGAGGUUUAUUUAGUAGCCUUAUCCCGAGAUUAUGGUCUAGAUUCCAUUGAGAUAUUGAUUUGAUGGAGAAAUGCACACAUAAGCCAUAGAACUUAAAUAUCAAGAUGAGCUAAUGUAUCACUGCAUAAUGCUUGCAAGAUAGGGCUAAUUCUGUAGAAUAACCAGUGAACAUUGACAAGAUUUUCUAGAUAAAACUCUCCCAUUCAGAUGAGCAUUAAAUGCCACUCUCUUUGGGGUAGACACCAUCUUCUACUUGCCUAGGCAGGGCUCUUUAAAUAAAAUACCCACCAGAAGAAUGCAGCAGUAAUUCCCAUCUGCCACUGUGUGUUAAUUAUUCUGUCUUGGGGAUCCCUGUGUAUAUGCCAUGCCUUUUUAGAAGCAAAGUCAGUCCCCCCCAAAAUGCAUCCAAUACUUUACAGAAUCCUACCCAGCCUUUGCUUGAGCCAUGCUACUUUCAAACCCAUUGUUGUUUGAUUCAUAUUUCAAUUGUCACAAUUGUGACAAAUGCAAGACAGAAUACCACAGAAUUUUCAGAGCACAUGCCAGCUGUCAGAUGCUGUGUCUUGUGAUUUCUCGGCAUUAUUCCCUUUUAUCCCCAUAUGAACACUGAGAUGGAGGUACUCUUGACCCCCACCCUGUCACCAAUUGGUUGGCUUUAGCUAUUUGUUGUAGGUUGUGGUUUUAGCAGUAUGCUUGAUUUCAUGUAUAGAUACAGAAGCUCAGAUGUAAGUACUACUCUAAGACCCCAUGAGUUGACACUGGCACCCUUGGUGCCACAGUUCGGAUAUUUUCUUGUAUAAUAAGUCCGCUGCUUGUUCAUUGAGCCACCCCAGGAUAUGCUCACGAGACUUGGGCCUCAUACAGCUCCAAAAACCCAUGGGUAGGUGGCAUAUGUAGUAGGAAAGAAGUCACACAAAUGGGCUGAUAUAGGGGACCAGAGACACAAACCCAGUGUCUCCUCCUCUUUAUCUCGGGUUUAGAUGCUGUCCUUUAGAUGCAAGGCUCCAGAAGUAGAAGGGGCAAUGAGCUAAGUAACAGCCUGAGAUUAUGCACACCUGUGUUCAUAUAUAUAUAAAUAUUCCACAUCAAACAGAAGUGCCCGCAGCACAGACAGUGAUGGUAGCUGGGCCUCUGUGUGUGGCUGAGAGGAAAGUUAUUUACAGCAAGGUCUGGCCUCUCGCCCCACCAUGUAAUUCCAGGCAAUUGCACUUCCAAAUAGAUCUUUUUGGAGAAAAUCAACAGUGGCUUUGCUUUCAAUCUACUGGAAAAUGAAGUCCUGUGAAUGUGUUAUGUAAGUCCACAGGUCCACAGCAGGUGGAGUGAGGAGCUCAAACCAGCAGCUCUGCAGAGAGAUGGGAGGCUCUGAUUCCCAGAUUCCUUCUAUCUUUUCUGGCCUGCCGGGCCCUAUGCAUGCCUAUGCAUUUUCACAAUGACUGACCCUGGGGCCCCAAGGCAGAAGCAAGGUAUGAGACAGGGCAACUGAGACUAUCACUGGGGCUCUAAAGAAGAAAAGGGAGUUAAAGAAUGAUAAAGGCCCUGCUGUGGCAUUUAUUUACAAGACAAACACAAUGUCUGCUUUUUGACUCAUCCACCAUGCAACUUACUCCAAUUUAGCAGCACCAAGUAGCACACAUAUGACACAUCCACUCUGGUACCUGGACUGUCACGCUUGCUUUCUUUCUUUUUCAAUAAUAAAGUCUCACUGAGUUUCUAAGACUACAGAAACAGAGAAAUAAAAGCAGACUGUCCACAACUCCAUUAUCUAAACAGUCAUUGUUAGCAUGCUGAUGAGUUUUUUUUUUCCUCAGCCUUUGUUUUUAAUCUAUUUUUAACUUUGGAAAGAUAAUUUCCUGAUGAGUUCUACACAUUUUUCCUCUGGGUCAGAAUCAGUGGAGACCAAGUCAUACUCAGGGGUCUGAGAGGUUGGAUGCCAGCCAGGUGGGCUGCCUAGACAGCCAAUGACUGCUUAGAUUACAGAAAGGUGAUGAAAGGAACACAAUGCUGAGAACCAGGGUUCAGUCUUUAUAUUGAGCAGUAUCCAUAAUCAUUAAUAUAAGACAUCAAGUGAGUUACAUCCGUUUUGGGGAUUAUUUGCACCAUCCACAGUAGAUACAGAGAGUAAAGCAUAUGCCUUUAUAUGGAUAUGGAGGCACUCGUGUACUUCUUAUAUUAUUGAGAAAUUCAUUCUCCUGUAAUGGAGUUGUGUUUUCAGAAGGACAAUAGGGAUAUUGAUAACUAUCUUCUAAAAUUAUCAUAGUAACUUUUAGGGUCACAUUGAAUGGGGUAUGUAAGAAGAGGAAUGGGUGGGAGACAAGAUAAUUAACACUGGGAAUGUUUGAAAAGCCAAAUGAAAACAUAAUACCUUAUAAGCUUUAUGUAUAUAUAUGUAUAUAUAUAUAUAUAGUUUGUAUAAAAGAAUGUAAUUGAUAUUGCCAUAUGUAGGCAAUAAUGAUCCUCCCAGAAGCUAUGGGAUAUUAAAAAGACUGCACCUCAAGUUGUUCAUCAGGUAUGUCCCAGACAACCCUAAAACAACACAGGCUAUUGUCAAAGCUCUUGGUUGUUCACCAGAACUUGACGGUAAGAUCCUCUUGCAGAAGAUACCACAUGCUUUCUCCAUAGCACAUAGAGAAAUAAAGUUGGAAGUGACCAGGAAGUUUUCUCCCUGCUACACAGAUUCUAUGGUAUCAAAAAAUGCUAAGCACACUGCUUGGGGUUGGGGUUGGGGGUGGGGGGAGGGAAAAUCAUCAACAGACUUAUCCAGCUGCAAACCCAUAAACUACAAUAAUGACCAACAUGGUAAAAUAUGGGUGGGAAAGUAGCACAAAUGUUAUGGGGGACAUCAUCCACAUCCUGACUGAAGAGUCCUACUCCACGGGAAGCAACACAUGCCUGGCACCUUGAAUCUGGACAAGAACCCAAGGUUGGAAAGCUCACAGGCUUGGGGGUGAAGCUAAUACUACUAUUUUGCUAAAUGCAAAUAGAGUCAGAAUACUCUCUAAAUUCUUACCUCUCUACCCAUAGGUUAGUGUGCACUUAGAACUCAUCAGUUUUAAGGUUUUCUUGCAGAGUAAACAGCAGUCCGUGCAGAAACUUACAACUGGUCAAAUAAGAGUCUGUAGAGUGCUCAACUAUAAAUGGGACAUUAACAUCACCCUGUGCCUUCCAAGGCUCAUAGAUGGUCUUAAAAUGGGGGUGGGGUGAUACAAGGGUUGUAAGAUCCACAUGUCAGAGGCCUGGAGUCAAAGAGUAACAAGACAGCUGCACCCAUGAACUCCCAACAAUGACUGCUGCCUGCACAAGAUCAAGCUAAUCAAUAUUUCAAUAACAAGAAGUGAGGGGCUCAUGAGCUCCCUCCUACCCAAGCUGAGAAGGUAUCAACAAUCAAUGGCUUCUGGGAGAUAGGAAGUCAUUUUCUUUAAAGGUGUGGUCCCUAGAAGGCUGGCCAUGAUUCGGUGGAUGGUCCCCUCUGGUAAGUAUAUGGAUAGCACAAACUGGACUAGGUGGGUUACAAAAAAUUUCAAAAGAUAAUAGGAAGUUAGGAUAAAUGAAGGUGGGUGUGAGAGAAGUUAGAGAAAAGAGUGAACAUGAAUAUUAUCAAAAUACCUUGCAUAUGUGUAUAACAUUCUUAAAGGAGCACUAGCAUAUGUUAUAUUUAAAAAGCAAACAGCUGGAGAGAUGACUCAGAAACUAAGAGUGCAUUCAGCUCUUGCGGAGUACUGGAUGGAGCUCAGCUCCCAGCAUAAACCUGGGGUGCCUCGCUGCUUUUAAGGAUGCCUCCGGCCUCCGUGGGUACCUGUGCUAACAUGCACAUACCCACAUGUGCACACAUAAAUUAAAAAUAAUAAUUAAAUCUUGGCUGGGGAGAUGGCACAUCACUGAACAACAUUUGUCUGCUUUUCCAGAAUACUUAGGUUUCAAUCCCAGCUCCCAUAUGGCACCUCAUGUCUGUCUGUAACUAGUUUUAGAGACUCCAGUAUGGCCUCUUCUGCUCUCUACAGGUGCCAAUCACACAAGCAGUGAAUGAACAUAUAUGCAGGCAAACUAUGCAUUUACAUAAAAAACCAAUAGAUAUUCAAAAAUUAAAUGAUGCAUGUAAACCAACUCUUUGUUGCAUUUAUGUGUGUAGCUGUAUGUGUUCCUGUAAGACUCACAUGUAUGUUUGUUGUCCAUGUGCAAGUGGAGACAGGGGUCAACCUUGGAUGUCACUCCUUAGAGCAGUAGUCUACCUUACCCUUUGAGGCAAAGUUUUUCAAAGUCAUCCGGACUUUAUUAAUUUGACUAGAUUGACUAGCCAGUAAGUUCUAGGGGUCUUCUUGUCUCCAUUUCCUCAAUAAUGAAAUUAUAUGCACAUAUCACCAUACCAGGCUUUCUUACGAGGCUUUCUUACGUGGGUCCUAGUAAUGUGACUCAGGACCCCACAUUUGCAUGGCAAGCACUUUAGCGAUUAAGUCAUGUCCCCAGCCCUGUGGGAAGACAGGAUUGAUGAUUGCAGAGAAUUGUAGGAGGUUUUAUCACUUGGGUUUUAAGAAAUGAGAUGAUUACUUGCACUAUACACCAUAGAAAUAUUUUGUGAAAGUCCAAGAAGAUGAUAAAGAGCAAUAUAAAUAAAAUUAAGCACACAUAGGAGAUCAGGGAGAGGCACAAAGUGAAGUGUUUCCCCAUAAUUCACACAAGGAAUCAGAAAUAAUAAGAGAGUUCAGAGGCAUCAAGGAAAAGAAAGAAAGAAAGAAAGAAAGAAAGAAAGAAAGAAAGAAAGAAAGAAAGAGAGAGAGAGAGAGAGAGAAAGAGAGGGAGGGAGGGAGAGAGGGAGGGAGGGAGGGAAAGAAAGAAAGAAAGAAAGAAAGAAAGAAAGAAAGAAAGAAAGAAAGAGAGAGAGAGAGAGAGAGAGAGAGAGGGAGGGAGGGAGGGAGGGAGGGAGGAAGGAAGGAAGGAAGGAAGGAAGGAAGAAAGGAAGGAAGGAAGAGAGUGAUCGUUUCUCCUUCUUCCCAUGCCUUGAUUGAAAAAGGGGCAAUGACCAAUAACUCCCUACUAAUACAAUGGGAAUUAAAAGGUUUUAUGCUUUGAGUUGGAUAUGUAGCUACGCAGAAACUGAGAAGUAGCCUCAACCCCUUCAUCUUACCUCAGCAGAAAUCUUCCAAGAGGUGAAAAUCCAUUGGCUGUUUUCACCAUGGACUAGAAUCACUUUCAUCUUUAUACCUCAUGGGGAAGCAGAGUGCCAUAGGGAUGGAGACAGAAUAAGGAGGCAGUGGCUUUAGAAUAGGCAAGACACCACGGAAUGCUACCUGUCAAAAUACCCACAUUUAUUUGGGGAAUCCCCAGGAGCAAAGCCAACAGACCGUGGAACUAGUGUAGUGUGCCACCUUCUGGUAGGAUUACAUAUUACACAAUUUCUUGAUUCAUGACUGCUCACUAGCUCUGGGCUUGGAAAUAAAAAGAAACCUUUCAAAGCCAAUGUUGUGUUUUCAUAACAUCUCCAAGACCAAGGCUAGACCAAGAAUGACCAUGAUGAAAUGUGUCUUUAACAGUUCCCAUGUCCUUAUUCCAAAUUGGAACCCUCAUUCAAGCUCCCAUUUGACUAUACAAGCCCAAUGUUCUCAGUCAAUAUAUCAAUAGCCAUGGGUAGCUGCUCACCUCCUCUAGCCAUACUCUACUGCCAAAGGUUAAGAGGACAGGUAAUGCAUACAUUGCCCUUACAUGUGCAUUUAAGUAGGUUCUGGACAAUUACUGCAAUCCAGGCACUAUGCUAGAUCUGAUCUCAUCUUCCAGGAUCUUAUCAUCCAUUGAGGAAAGCAGUGAUGUACUUAGGUAAUCACAAGUCCCUUCUUGGGGUAAAAUGUUCAUAGUAAAGGAAGUCUAGGUAGGAAAAACUACCACUUAUGGUUAAAUUAGUCAGAAAUGGCAGUGUUUGAUCUCUGAGUUGAAAGAUAAAAUUUUAACAAAAAGAAUCAGAGAAAAAUACAUCUGGAAAAGUUAAAACAAUGCACAAAAGGCAAAAAAAAAAGUAGACAAUUAAAGACCUUUUAAUAGAAUACCUGUACCAAAGCAUACCAGGGGAGAAUCGUGACAGCUACCACCUACCCAAACUCCUUUUAAAAUGUGAUCUUCAUCACCUUCAGUUAUUGCUGCUAUGAAGCCCAUUUUCUUGAUGGAGAAAGUGAGUCUUUCAGAGGUAAGGAUUUAGUUUAUUGUGAUUCCAUGUUUUGUAAGGAGAAUACACAACCUAGGGAUUCUAUCCCCUAUAGCCUGGAUGGUAGCAAGUACAAUAAACAAAAGAAAAUGGUUGCAGCCAUUUCAUGGAGGGCAAAGAAUCCUUUCAAAAGCAGAGCAGGAAUGAGUUUUCAAGGUGGUCUUCUUCACUGUCUAUCCAUCCAGACAUGGUGACUCUUCGCUGGUUAUUAUCUUUCUUCUUAGAGACAUACUCUAAGCUAUCCAGCCAUAUAUUCACAAGCUUGAAAUCCAUAGUAAAGUUAUCUCUUCUUUCCCCCAGUGCAUUUAUCUGUUUGUUUGAUUUUUCUGCUCACUGCAUUAUAUGUUAUUAGGCCUUAGGGUGCCUCCGUGAAUUAAAGCGAUACAGUCAAAAUGUAUGAUUAAAAGGCUGAGAGGCAAUAAUAGCAACAUAAUCAUACAGAGCAUUCAUAUCCCACUUUAACAUCUGUUGUCUCACUUACUCACAGAAAAAUCAGCAGCACUCCGAGCCGGGAAUGACAGAAUGUUAGCAACUCAAUUUUACCAGUGGGAACAUUGAAACAGAGAGGUUGGCUAGUUUGCCUGGGGCCACAGAGCAAGUGAUUGGAACUGUCACUAAAUCUCCUAGCUUCCAGCCCAGACUUGUUUCCACAGAACUGUGGUCUCUCUACUCAGGAAAGAUAGGUUUAGGAGAUGAGAGGGCCCAGGUUUCUUACCUCAGGGAGUUUUGGGUACGGCACCAUGGACAGAGAACUCAAGGCUUUUUGAGGGGGAAGCGGUUUGGUUUAGGUGAGUAUGUUUGGACAUGCACCACUAUAUCCAACUCAGCAUCAUCCUUCCAUGACACACAAUGCUACUCUCCAAUUUAAAGCUCUCAAGCUAAAUUCUCUGAUGCUGACUAAAGGGUAUGCUCAGAAAACUGUAUACAGGCCAUGACAUAAAAAUCACCUCGAAAUAAGGCCAAGACUAGAAGAGGAAAGCCGCAUUUAGGUCGAAGCAAACACAAACACUAAUGGAAGCAGCUGCUACGUCUUCACCAGGUAGUCUGGGGCAAGUUAGCCAUAGUGACAUUUACCCUGCACUACCCCUAAUAAGCCAGCUACAGUUAGCCAAGAUUCUCUCUUUUCACAUUCCAACAUAUUAUAAGGACCACCUCCCUUAUAAGCUAUUAAAUCUAAAAAUAAUGCUAUUUGUCUGUGGAGCUGUGGCUUUGUGUCAGGUCCUGGGCUUGUUCUCCAAGUGUUAUGUCAAUUAUUUCAUCCUUUUGGUGACUAGUACAAGAUCUAUCUAACAUGUGCAGGCUAUGUGAAAGACAAUUUGGAGAAAUAACCGUGUGCUAUUUCAAAAAAAAAAAAAAAAAAAAAAGACAGUGAGUCUGGAGUCUCCCAGCUAUGUGAUCUUGAUUCUUAGUUAACCCCUAAGGGUUUAACAGUCUCUGCACCAGUAAAACUGGGGAGCUAUGCUUUUUUGUGACAUUGUCAAGAAGACUACAGAAAAAGCAGCCAAUACCCAGAGAACAAUGUGAGCACCUAGUGGGUGCUCAAAUGAACACUAUUUUCCAAUCCUCUCUUAACAUUCACAUGUGACUUUGACCUUACUUAAGCCUAUUUCCCCAGGCCCCACACCCCAACUCAUUAACCCGAUAUGAAGAUAAAAGUAAAGUUCCAUAGAAGAAGGAAUAGGUCAAGUGAGAAUUUAUUUAUAAAUCUGGAGAGAGCAGAAUUCAUAGUGAGGUUUUGUUUGUUUCCGUGAUAGUGCAUCUCAUAAUGACUGUAUCAGAAAGUGUAGGAGGAAGAGGUUGACAAGAGUGACUAGUAAAUGUACAUAGAGAUGCUCAGCUCCAUACACUGUCAAGCCUCCUGUGGUGGUCACUAGCCACCAAUGAGUAAGGAGAACUAAAAUGAGGUUAUGAGCCAACAAGUAUCGUGUAUCCCUGUCUCCCAUUCACACCAUUUGCAAAGCAGCUCCACACAUAUGAUCCUGCACCAAUCGGCAAGGGCCUAAGCAUAAGCAGCAGGCUUUGGGACCAGAACCACAGACACAGUGUGAUGGCUAUCCUUCACGAUCAACUGGAUUAGAAGCACCGUCCUCUGAGUAUGUCUUCUGGGGUGUUUCCAUAAAAGUUUAAUGGAGGAGAGAAGAGCCACCCUGUGUGAGGGUGCCACCAGACCAUAGGCUUCAGUCACAGAUUCAACAAAGUGACAAGGUAAGAUGAGCACUAGUGUUCAUUUCUCUCUGCUUCUUCUGGAGAUGUGAUGUGACCACCUGUGUCAUGUUCCUGCUCUAAUGCCUCCCCCUAUCGCCAUCCUUGUGAGAUCUUCAAACUGUGAGCCAAAAUAAAAUUUCCUUUCCUUGCUUGUUUUUUGCCAGAGCCACAAGAGAAAUAACUAGGUAUCUUGAUCUGUCCACCUGUCUCAAAAAACGCAACUUUCACCCACUUUGAUAUUAUGACUUCAGAAUCAGGAGUAGCUGUUCUUCCUCAUCCCGGAGCUCACAUCAAGUGGGAUUCAAUGUCAUUAAAAACAGGAAAGACUCUUAAUAAAUAUAUGUCUGCUGUUGGACAGAGGGCAUGAGGGCAGACCUCCUGCCAACCACACUGCCCAUGGCCACACAGACAAGCUUUGGUAUCCUGAAGACACAGAUGCAAGCACCAAAGCACCUUCUCCACUUUGCUAAGCCCUCCCUGUCUUGAUUCAUGAGGCUCAUUUCUUCCAUUCUCUGGCUCAGUAAGAAGCAAAAAGCAGCCUGUGUUUAUACCUGACACUAAGCCUUGAUGUCAUUUGUGUGACUUUUAGAUUUUACGGCAUGCAUUACAUGGAGAUAAUGACUUCUCCGGGGUUGCAAAGCUGGAGAGUCAAGGACCUGAAUACCGAUCUUCCCUAACAAGGCAGGAAGGCACGGCAUCCUUCAAGCAUUUUCCUCUCUUGUGUUUCCCAUCCUCCUUCAUGAUGUUUUGUUUCUCUUAUCUAACACUAUUUCCCCCUGCUCUAAAAAGCCUGAGAAGAUGGGUAAAAACUUUUGUGUGUUUAUUAGCCAACCAUAGACAGCUCUACAGUUUAAUUCAAAGACAGCUAUAACUCACUUAAACUAACCUACACUGAAUUGUGUCUUGGGUAGCCCUCCUCAAACACUCCUCAAAAUGAUAAUGAACAUCAGGCUCACCAGCAGGAGGACCAGUGGCAAAGCCUGAGGACUGGCUUUAUAUUACUGGGCAGGUACUAUUUAAACCCUUCCGUCUCUUACACAGGGAUGACUGGGAGGACAGCAGAAGCUUGGCCCUCUAAACCAUGUGGGUUUUUAUCAACUGGUGGGAGCACUGGGGCUCCUCCUGAUUAAUUCUUACCCAUGGGCUCUCCAUGAAGACUUCCAGGAAAGCAAAACAAUGGGACAGAAAAAGCCAGGAGCCAGCUGGCCUAGACAUGAAACCUACAGCAACUUCAAUUCUCUAGAUCUGUCUUAUCAUCUAUAAAGCAAAUAUAAAAUUGUUGCCAAUCUCACUGUGGUUUUGUGAAAUUCAAUAAAUAAAAUACUUGAGCUGAGGGUCUAGUUGCAUUAGAAGACCCACUAGAUACUAGCGUAUAUCCUUUCCUUCAAUUCGAGGAAGAUGUGCACCCAUUAGGAAGCCCUAAUGCUGAUCUGAUAAGGAAUCUAGAAAUCUUAUUUCCUCCCUUCAAUUUCUUAGCUUCCUUCUUGCAACAACAACAACAAAUGUCAUCCUUAUUAGAGAACAACAUGACAAAAUUGUUAUCUGGUUAAAAGUGUGCUAUACAAUCAAAGCCUAAUCUCAACAUUAGAGCAAACCAUGUAUGGAUGAGAGACAGAAACUAAAUAGUGACUAAGCACCUACUAUGCCUCAAAGACUUUAUAUACAUUAUUUUUAUAAUCUAUACUCUACUCCUGGAAUAGGGUUGCUUGUCAGUACCCUGUUUUAUACACAAAGAUUCCUAAAGGAUAUCAAGAUUAAGUAGCAGAGCUGAAUGCAAUCGUUCACCACCAAAGCCCACUGUCUUUCCAUUAAUUCAGGAGCUUUGCUCUCCUGGGGUGAGGUGAGCCAUGGGAGGGGACAAGUCAUCCAAUGACACGCCUAGAAGAUGUGCAAAGAGAAACCAUGCUUAAGUGUAUGAUGGUUCACUCUUGCUUUCCCAGAAUUGACUUUUUUCUUGGGAUUUUAAAUCAUCGGGUGAUGGAUUUAUGCCAAUGACCACCAGAGGGGGAUAACAGCUGAGAGAGGACAGACAGUAUGCAUACACAAGCACCAGCGUGUGCAUACACACACACACACACACACACACACACACACAUACACACACACAGACAUACACACAAGAGUUCCCAGUAGCUUCCCCAAACAAUAACAAAGGAUUAACACACUGAAAUGCCAUUUAAAUAAAGACCCUUGAACAAACAGGAUUUUCUCAUAGCUUUUCUGCUACUGUAAACCAUGCCGAGUCUGAGCUCACCUCGGGGGAAACAAAGGGUAUCAUGAAUCCCUUGUCUAGGCAAAGGAUAUUCCUGUUUGAAAAUAAAAAAUGUAGAGCCAGAUUUGAUCCACUGGUUCUCAUAGUUAAGUUAUAUUAAUUAUAUAUUUUCAAAGAAAUUGAUUUAGAGGGCUAGAAAGUUGACCCAGCAGUUAAGAGCACUUACUAAUCUUGCAGAGGACCUGGGGUAGGUCCCCAGCAUUCAUAACAACCAAUAACUGUAGUCCCAGAGGAUCUGACACCCUCUUCUGACCUUGGUGGAAAACAGGUAUGCACUUAGUACACACAUAUGUGUAGACAAAAACAAAAACAAAAAACAAAAAACCUCACACACACUCACACAUAAUUUUUUUUUAAUAUCUAAAAAUAAAAGAAAGACCUGGAUUUGGAGCCUGAAGUCAGGAUUGUUUUGCAUAGUGGGGUCAAGGAUCAAGCUUAGGGUCCUAUGCUUACUAGACAAGGGCCAAACCAUGGAACUACAUCCUCAGCUAAAGGGUUUUUGAAGCUGUAAAUCAAACUACACCGUGUAUGUUUCACACAGGCCCAACAAGACCCCUGACUGCCCAUCCUCUCAAAUACAAGCCUCCCAAUAUCCACCCCCCCACAUGGUUAUUGUAAAGACAAAAACUGUAAUGCAAAAUGGCAAACAGCUCUGUAAAUUGCAAAGGCCAAGCAAAUGUCAAUUGCUCUUCUUGCUAUGGUAGUUAUUUAUUUAGUGUCGACGCUCCUAUCACAGGGCCUGUCUGUGGCAGUGCACGGUCGGUUGCAGGAGGAACAGGCCUGAGCAUUAUAUGAGAGGGCAGGGAAGCAGAAGGAGCAAGUGUGCUGGCAGCAUUUGGGGUUGAGCCAGAAGCAGAAGGAACAAGGAUACUGGCAAUCCUUGGGGUUUUGAGGGAAGAACUUGCUCUCUUCAUGCUGAUGUCUCUGGGCUUUUCCUGAUAGUCCUACUUAUUUUAUAUAUAUUUUAUUUUCAGUGUAGAACCACCAGCUCCUCAUUAGUUUUCUAGGACUUGUCAGACAAGUUAUGGAAAACAGGGUGGUUUAUAGUGACAAAUGUGCUCCGUUUCAGGUCACUAUGCAAAGUGUGUGACUGUUCACCCCACACAGUAUGAUGCCAUCCUAACCUGAAGAAUAGAGAGGUGCAGCAUCCAGGAAACCAGCCGCAGUGUGGGCAAUAGACUCAGCCUAAGGAGGACAAAUUGAAGGCAUGAAGGUCAGUGUUCACUGUCAACUUGAUUAGUUUAGAAUCACCAUGUAAAGAGGGUAGUCCCUGAAAGGUUUUACUAUAGAGGAAUAACCUACCCUAAAUAUGUGUAGACAGUCCCACUAGCUGGAACAUGGAUUAAAUAAAAUGAGAAACAAUAUCCCCGCUACACACACACACACACACACACACACACACACACACACACAUACACACACACACACAGGCAACCACAUUCACCUCUCCCUGCUUCCUGACUGUGGGUACAAUGUAACCAGCUACCUUAUUCUCUAGAUGCUAUGUCCCUCCACCAUGAUGAACUGUAAGUUCCAACUGUGAGUCAAACUGUUGCUUUUGUUGGGCAGUUUGUCACAUUAACAAGAAACUUAGCUAGAGCAGAGGGCUUUCUGGGGAAGUUUGUGCUGAACCUUGAGUGAUACAUAUUGAUAAUAGGAAGAUAAGACCAGAUAGAAAUGCUCGUGGAGCAAAGAAGGAGAGCAGAGAUACAGAUGUUUAAAGGGAGAGAUUUAAGAGAAAAAAGCAGGCAGGAGGAAGGAGAAGCUGAAGGAAUGUUUCUGAUUGAAUGGCUAAGAUAGAAGCAACAGGCUGAGGCUGAAAGGAAGCUAGACAGGAACUAGGGAAAUUCCCACAUUCCGAGACACCAUGCCUCUCUCUGACUUUCCUCCUAUUUCCACCCAGGGCUUUCCCAUACUUCCUCCCUGCUCCAGCAGCUUAGACUUCUAAAAUCAGAGGCCCUGCCUUAGGUAAUCCUGUGUGUGCCUGGCACACAAACAGCUCUACAGAUAAGAACAGCUUCAAAGAUGGAGCUGGCAGACUCAAGAUGGACAGACAGACAGACAGAAGGCUGCCAACAGUGCAGCCGCCACAGCAGAAAGCACCACUUCCGGCUGCUCCCUGUGCCUUGAGACAAAGACAGUUGGACCCAGUUAAUUGAAAUAUAAGCUUUAGGCAUUAGGAUUUAUCCAAACGCCAAGAAAAUAACUCGAGGACGCUAACAGCAUGCAAAUGGAUGCACCCGGGGUCCUUUAACAUAAUUCAUUCAGCACAGGCAGCCCAGGUACGACUGGCAGUUUCUCUGGCACCCCCAAACCAGUCCUUUCUUUCAUGCCUCUGGGCUUUCUCCUCCCCCACCCUACUGCUCCUGGACAGGCCUGAUUUGUGCUAAUAAAAGCAGCCACGGCCCCAGGGACCCAGCAGGAGGAACAUAGCUGAUUUCACCUCUUUAACCCCGGAUCUAGGAAAACAGCCGAACGCUGACUCUGGCCUUCCCCCAGGAGGAUCCCAGAGUUUUAUCUUGUGAGCUGCACGACCUCUAGGAACCUCUGCACAAGUGAGAUAAGCCCCUGUCCCCAAGAGGAAGCAUACUUAUCUCCCAACAAAGCGUCUGCAAAUUACUUUUUUUUCCUUCUCAGGGAAUGGAGUAUUUAAAUAAUAAUAAUAAUAAUAAUAAUAAUAAUAAUAACUGCAAUAGCAGUAAUAGUAAUCACCACCAGCUGAUGUCUGCAUCAUGGUCAGUUCUUCAGGGAAAGAGGUGGCUGGGCCUGCAGAAACGGAUUGUGUUAAGGAACAUGGGUGACUCAUGCGCCAGGGGCGGGCACCUUCCCAAGGGUCCUGGAGCCCAGUGUCUGGUUUGAGAGAUAUGCACACCACCUCUCUUCGCACAGAAUAAACAAAUGAUUAACUGUCUCAUUAGUGACUGUGCGGGAAGACACACAACUCAUGUCCCGGCGGGUGGCGCAGCCAAGAGAUUUAUAUUAUUUAACAAUAAAAGCAAAACAAAUGUGGCCUUCCACCCCGCUGCCUGCCUGCAUGAGGCCCCUUUUACCAAAGCAGGGCAGCUAGCCAGAAAGGACGGGAGGCUCUCUUACCUGACAGAACAUAGACUGCAGCCUAUGGAGGGAGAAGACCACCUCCUUUGAAUUUCAGGGCUGGGUUCAGGACAGGGUAGGGGGUGGGGGCAGAAUGGAAGGAAGAGUGUUCACAAGGGAGCACAACUGAUUUCACUGGAAGGAGCUAUUUGCUGUGAAUACCUGCUAAGAAAGAGAAAAUCAGUUUCCUUCAGUGGAAUGUCACUGGGUAUAUAUAUCAACUACACUCCAGGGUCAGCCCCAUGAACCAUUCUAGAGGCAAACUGCCGGAAUCGCACCCUGAAGCUAAGAGUUGAAGUCCUUUGACAUGGUUUAAGUUCCCUCCCUGUGCCUCAGUUUCUGAUGUAUAAAACAAAGAUAAUAAUAAUUAUAUUGAAAAAUGUAGUUGCUUUGGGAAAUAUGGGAGUUAAUAUAUUUAAUGUCCUUAGAAGGUAAUUAAUGUGUCCUGGAAUACAGUAGAUAACACGGAAGAACAUAAUUAUUAUUAGGAAGUUCAUGGCGUCGUUAUGAAUUGCAUCCUUUACGUUUUAGUCAUUUACUGUCAUGAGCAUUCACGCUGAAAUGCAGAGCAACUUAAAAGGCUCUUCUCUCUAGGUUUCUACCCACUACCUACCUACAUCACAAACUCCUACACUGCCUCCAAAACCCAAGCAACUUGUCAUUAUUUUUCUCUCUAUAUAGUUUCCUCUUAAGCUUUCUCACCUCUGACAGAACCCAUCUCUUCUCACAGCUGUGAGGUAUAUUCCUGAUUCGAUAAUCAAGGCCCCUGAUUAACCUGGAUGUCUACCCUUCCCACGUACCUCCCUAAAUCCCUUCUGAGAUCUACCUUGGAGGAAGAGCGCCUAGAGUCUGUACAAUAGAACCCUGCAUGUCAGUACGUGGAGCCCUGCAAAGCCCUUUGUGUGAAAGGCAUCCAGAAAGAGAAGCAAAUGUAAUGUUUUGCCCUAGGCACUGUGUUCGUCACAAAUCCCCAAGCCUCGGAGCGUGACCUUUGCAAAAAGUCACACUGGCUAAAAUGUCUCUGUAUUGUUCUUUGACUGGCAAUGAAUUAUCUGGGGUUAGAGGAACAUUUUUUUUUUUCACGGCUCAAAAAGCUGAGCUUCUGAAAUCUAGGGGUUUGGGGAUCCAAGGGGAAGGCUAACCAUGCUUGUGUUUUCAUAGACCCCGUACUGCCUGAAGCGCAGUCCAGGGAAGCAGCAGCUUCAGCAGGAAGCACCUUCCCACCCCUCAGAAAGGAACAGACUUGUGAGGCUGAGCCAGGAUGGAGCAGGACCCCUACCCUUCACAGCAGGAAAGCCUUCAGUGACUCAGUUUUGCCUUCUGUGAGGUGGAAGAAACACUUGACCUUGUAGAAAAGGGAUGAAGAAUAAUAUGGAAGCUAUUCACGGGGCAUGUCAUGUAGCUCCCCGAUCCUUAAAUGGUGGGUCAGGGCCCCAUAGUAGGUUGUGUAACUGGAUGUUGAGGUUGUGAAAAUGUUGAAAACUGUAAAACGUUUCUAAUUAAAAAUCAAGGGUUUGAUGGAUCUUAAGUGUUUCUGGAAGGACCUGCCCAUGCUCCGUGGAACUUCACGGCAGCCCUGGUUCUGAACAUGGAUGUACAUUUUACAUUGAACCCAGCAUCCCUCCAUGCAGUGCCAAGGAACACUGUUGGAAAUACCUCACCUCAGAUUUGAGACCAUUCCAUGCAACCAACCACAGUCAUUUCACUUAACAUAAACAGUUUUCAACUCCUAUAGGAAUAUAAUGGUUCAAUUAUAGUUUUUUUUUAAAGCCACUUUUGAUGUUUUCCUCUCAUUUCUCAGCAUGUAAGUAUCAAAUUAGUAUAACUUUGGACUACAUUACUAGAAUGUCUCAUAUCUUUAAAUUUGUUUGAGUUGCUGGCUUGAAUUAAACAACGACAAAAACUAAAACAAUUGAUUGAAAUUUGGGUUGGAAUUAGGAUAUUAUUCCCAACAAUUUCUGAACUGGCUAUAAACAUACUUCUGUUUGUACUACAUAUCUAUGCGAAGCAGCUAUUGUAGAAAUCAAAAUAUCAGUCAAAGGUUGAAAAUGCCGUGUUUCCUCAGCAUCAAGGACUCAGCUAAGAUCGAAUUCUUUAUGGAAUAAACAACCACAUCUGGCUCACCAUUAUUCAUAUUUGCUUCCUUCUUAAACAUAUGGGGAAAAGGUUGGUCUACCAAAGAAUUACUUUAAAAUAACUUUCUUUAUGAUUUAAGUAACAGGAAGUGUUUGAUUUGUAUAUCUAUCUUAUAUAGCUUUAUACCCAAAAUAGAAAAAAAAAAUCUUAGGAAGAAAGAAAUUGUGAAUGGGAAAAGUUCAAAAGUCCAGAUUAGCUGGUACUGUGGUUAGUACCAGCACUGAGUCCUAACAACCACCUUUCCUUCAUUGAGCAACCUAAGAAAUGUUAAAGGACUCAGGAAAGUGGAGAUCAAAUAGAAAUACAUUCCUGUGAUAUUAAGACUGAGAGUUAGAGAGCCACAAGUAAACAAAUGUGGGUCUCCAAAGUAACUGUAACUCAACCAAUGAGCACAUAUAUCUGUUUGCAAAGGCCAUUUAAUAAUGUGUGAAACUCGGGCAAAUCCCCUGCAUAGGACUAAGUCAUUCCCUACAAGGAACAACCAAGAGGAGCCUCCAGCACCCUGCAGGCUGCAAGCCCCUGCCCAGUCACUGCCCCUUCGUUGCAGGGACACAAGCUCAACCAUUGCCUUUACUUGCCCCCGUACCUGUUGGUCAUAGCUGCUUCUUGGGUGCAGGAAUCUGUUUUCACAUCACUUUCUGAUCACCCACAUCACAGUCUUCACUUCCUCCUCUAUACUGUAGUUGCUCUCACAGUCUCCUUUUCCUUCAUCAUGGAGGACAGUACAUCCCAACUCCUGAGGAGUUGUUCAGACUUAGUGAUUCUGAGACAGAUGUAUUCUAGAAUAGUUUCAAUGGCUCUCUUCUUUAUCAAAGCGCCCUGCUCAUUUGUCUUUGCCUACUUUUCCCAAACAUGAGUGUUCAUGCACUUUUUCUUUUGUGGUUUUGGCCUUCAUUUUUCUUAAUUGGUUUCUUGUUUGGUUGGUUGUUGUGAGUUUAUUUUUAAAGAGAACAUAAAGUUGGGUUAGGUAGGGAGGUUGGAAGGAUCUGGGAAGAGUUGUGGGAGAAAAAAGUCAUUAAAAUACAGUGUAUGAAAAAUGUAAUUUAAUAAGGAGGGGAAAAGCCACUGCCCUUUGAGUAUUGGUAAAUAAGAAGUCUCUGUUAUGGUUGUCGUGUGUCAUAGGAUGUGAUAGUGUGAAUUGUGAUCACCUGAAAUCGUAUGUGGACUUCUUAACACCAAGUAUUUCAGAUGUAACUCAAAUUAGACACAAGUUUGUUUCAGAUAUAAUUAAUUACGAUGCAGUCAUUAGGCCCAGAGCCAGUAAUAAUGCUAUGCUUGAAAAUGUGGUAUGAACAUGAGGACAGUCAUCUGAGAACCAGAAUAGACUGUCACUCACAGUUCUCUGAAGAAACUAGCCAUCUUAGUGUAGACUCACAGUGCCCAGACCUGUGAGGCAAUACAACACACUGUUAAAGGCACCCAGUUUGUCAUGGCAGUGGACAUGGGAAGCACACACACACACAAAAAAGACCAUGCAAGUGGGUCUCAUAUAACCCCAAGAACCUUUUAAGAGAAGAACAUGUUCUCCAGCUAAUAGCAACACUAGGACAUUUCAAACAAGGUAGUAGCCUUGUAAGAGCCUACGCCACUGUCUUGGUUGCCUUUUUACUGUUCUCACAAAGCACCCUGAUGAAGGCAAUACAAUUCCAGAAGGUAAUCCCACAGAACAGAGGGGAAGGAAGCUAACUGGGAAUGGCCCGAGUCUUUUAAAUCUCAGUGCCUUCCUGAAGUGACACACCCCUAACUAUUCCCAAAGAGUUCCACCAACAUAGGGAUGAAGUAUUCAAACAUAUGAGCUUAUAGGAGCCAUUCCCAUUUAAACAGGCACAGUCAAGGACUCAUUCAAGGUUAAAUUACUUUUAAAACCAUGAGCUAAAAAGUGGGUCAUGUUUUAAGUCACUUGUUUUGUAGGAUUUGUGAUAACAGUAUUAGAUUCAAAUAGACUCCUGCCCUUAAGGUCCCUUUUAUGUUAUUUUGUUUUUGUUUUUGUUUUGUUUUGUUGUUUGUUUGUUUGAUUUGCUUUUACAGCACAAUGAGAAUUCUGGGUUCUUAGCUAUGGACUGUGAGCCUUUGCCUAGACUUUCUCUCCCUAAUACCUCUUUUCCCUGCUGGGAGGAUAAGUUUCAUUCCAACAACUGUAUCAUUGUCUGCACAAUUGGGAAUAGGAGAUUUUAGUUAGAUGAACUAGAAAGGAAGAAGGGGAGAUAAGAUCAGGAGAUAAUCACUGAACCAGACAAGAUGGCAUCACUGAGCUUGUCUUGUAUCCUUGGGCACAAGGGCUUCCCCAAGCCAGGUAACCUCUUGUCUUCCCAGAUCGUGCAAAAGCCCACCUCUUCCCACAUGACCAAGUGUGGUGUCUUCAGUUCCCACAUACUGAGACUGUUAUGGUGACAGGGUCAAGUGAGCUUGUUCAAGCCUAUGCUGAACACAGUGACACCUCUCCAGGAUAUACCUUGGCAGCCAACACGGGCACAAGAACUUACAAAACCAUUUCAGCUAAGUGGAGAUAACACAGCAGAAACAGGGAAGAAAAGGCAGCAGAAGCUUGCUAACAUAUACACACACCUGAGCAUAACUUUGGAAGAGAAAGUUUGCAAAAACCAUACAUACACCAAGGAGCAGCCUUGGUGGGAAAACUGUGAGAAUUCCCAUCUGGAAAUCCUAUAAGGCAAAGAAACAUGACUAGUGUUCAGAAAAUGCCAAACUUAGUAAGCAGCUUUCAGAAACAAACUAUUUCCCUUCCAAAUGACAUCUCUCCAGCUUCCAAAUUUGCCUCUUCUCCUGAAUUCUCAGGGGAAACUCCAACUCAAUAUGUCUGAACUCACCUCUUCCCCAACCCCAUACAACAGUGAUAGCACACAGAAAUACCAACAUCUCCCUAAACACCCAGGCUAAAAUCCUGGUGGCAUAAACAUGUAGUCUUAAGUUCAAAUCCCAGCUCUGCUGACCUCUCAACCUUAGUUUCCCCACGUCUUAGUUCCUUUUCUGUUCCUAUGAGAAGACACCAUGACCAAGGCAACUUAUUGAAGGAAGAGUUUACCUGGGGCUUACAGUUUCAGAGGAUGAUUGUGUGAGCAUCAUUUAGGAAACCUGUUCACAGGCAGGCAGCCAUGCUGCUGGAGCAGCACUGAGAGCUUACAUCAUUAUCCACAAGUAGAAAAAAGAGAGAACUGGGAAUGGCUUGGGCUUCUGAAAUCUCAAUGCCCACCCCACAGUGACACAACUUCUACCAAAAAAGUCAUACCUCCUAAUUGUUCUUAAACAGUUCCACCAACUGGGGACCAAGUAUUUAAACAUAUGAUCCUAUGGCAAUAUUCUCUCUCAAUACACCACACACCAUCUGCCAACUGGAGACAAAUAAUCAUUUAUUUCAUGAGAAAAAUCUACAGAGAUCACAUUGAUUAAUUAGCUGCUUGUUGAAAACACAACUGGGGGUAACAAAUAUCACUUUAUUGUAACUAUUUGUGAUGUACAACAUUAAGGAAAUGCAGUGGUCACAAGAAACUUUAUCCACACUUAAUUAUUCUAUGGUAGCGGUUCUCAACCUUCCUAAUGAUGUGACCCCUUUAAUACAAUUUUUCAUGUUGUGGUGACCCUCAACCAUAAAAUGAUUUUCAUUGCUACUUCAUAACUGUAAUCUUGAUGACCUAUAGCUGCUAUCAACUAUAAUGUAAGUAUCUGAUAUGCAAUAUAUCUAAUAUGUGACCCUUGUGAAAGGAUCAUUCAACCCCAAAGGGGAAUGGACCCACAGGGUUAAAACCACUGCUCUUUGGGAUGCAAUCUGAUUUUUUUUAAUUUAUCUUUUUAAUUGGGUAUUUUCUUCAUUUACAUUUCCAAUGCUAUCCCAAAAGUCCCCCAGACCCUCCCCCGCCCCCUUUCUUCUACCCACCCACUCCCAUUUCUUGGCUCUGGCGUUCCCCUGUACUGAGGCAUAUAAAGUUUGCAAGACCAAGGGGCCUCUCUUCCCACUGAUGGCCAACUAGGCCAUCUUCUGCUACAUAUGCAGCUAGAGACACGAGUUCAUAUUGUUGUUCCACUAAUUUUUUUAAUGUUAUCUCUGAUAUUGAAAGCAAACUUCCCCUUUUCUUUGCUCCGCAUAUUACAUUUAGUAUAUAUUUACAUUUACUUUUAAGUUCUCAUUCAUUUCCUAUUAUCAAGCCAUCAAUAAAAACUUCCUCCAUCUUUAACUAUCAGUAAUUCACUGACCCCCUAAACCUCUACUAAAUCACCUUCAGGAAUAUCAUGUUGAGUGGUAGAAGCAUUCAAGGAUGUUUCUCUCCCCUAGCCUCUGGGUUUAAGCUCAUCAAGGUUGAGCAGUGGAAUCCUUCACUUUAAUUUGCUCAUAGGGACAAAAUCCUUGGACCUAAGAGGAAUUGGCAGUUGUCAUUUAAAUGAAUUACUAACUGGAUUAAAAGUCUUCACUGUACCCUGGUAUGUAUGGAUAAGGUAAUAUGACAUGCAACCUUGCUAGCCCAUUUCAGUGGCUUCCAGGUUGUCUAAACACAUUAAGCAUAUUCGAUCAGGAAUGAGGGUAGAUUUUAGUUGCUAUUUUCAAAGAACAAUUCAUUUAGUGUAAGUUCAGUGAAAAUGUAAAAUCUUUCAAGAAUGAGAAAAAGCAGAGGGUUGGAGCAGAUGUUAAAAUCGCUGAACCUGCAGUUCCCAGGAUGUUCCUGAAUGAAUGUGAACUUGACAGGCCCAGGAGGAAGAAAAAAGGAUCUCUCUCUCUCUCUCUCUCUCUCUCUCUCUCUCUCUCUCUCUCUCUCUCUCUCUCUGUGUGUGUGUGUGUGUGUGUGUGUGUGUGUGUGUGCUUGUAUGUGUGUCUCUGUCUCGCUGUCUAUCUCUUUCUCUCCCUACACUCACACAUACACACACACACACACACACACACACACUAGCUAUAAUAUAGACUCUCCCACAUUGCAAUCCGUCUUUACAAGGUCAGUGCCAAAUGAGCACAACCUUCAUCUGUCUGGUCAAGGUUAGUGGCUGAGGAUUUAUUUCCUUAUUGUUUCAAAUGGGUUAGAGGAGAAUGGUUUCUGCCACAGUACACCUACCUCUGAACAAGAGUGAUACAGGGCAGAGCAAUGAAAGUUGUUAUGUAGGUUGCAUAUGGGCUAAGCUGGAGUAUCACAUAUCUUGGAGGUCCUAAUGUGGGUCUAAUGUGGUACAAUUGUUCUUUAGCUAUAAAUCUAAGGAAAAGAUGAGAAGAGGCAUAUGUCUAGACAAGAGGACUGGGCUAGGAAUCUCGAGAUUUUGCUCAUUGAUGUUUGAAGUUACCAAAGCCACAUAGCCUUCUCAAGUUUUAAUUUCUUUUGACCUAUAAAAUGAAAGGUUGAAGCUAGAGUGACAGAACCAUUUAACAACUAUCAUGCCAUGAUAAUUCCAAAAUCACCAUUACCCAGAAUUUUCCCCCAGGGAUGAUGGAUCAUUUCAUCUAAGAUGAGUCCUUGGUUUUCCAGUUAAGAACAACUGAGCCAUCGCUUCAGCUCUGACACUGUUCCUCCUAGGAAGCUUCCUAGAAAUCAGGAAGCUUGCUUUUUCAUGACACAGGAUAGUUACGAAGCAAGACUGUGGUCUGUGUGGAUGAAAUCACAGAGUAAAAACAUUGAUAAACUUCAACUAAAAUUACAUGGGUGAGUGAGAAUAUUGACAGUGGUUUUCAGCUCAUAUUCAUUCUUGGGUUCAUAUUCUCUGCACUAAGAACUGAAAAAACAGUGCUCACCUCUCUGUGCCAGCCUUGCCAAUGCCUUCACGUGGGAUUAGGAAUGAAUCUGGAGCACAGAAAUGUCACUGUGUGUGGCCAAGCAGAUUUCAAUCAGAUACCAAUAUACAUGACCUCUUUGCUCAUCAUUUCUUCCUUUCAAGUCCACAUUCCAGGGAUCUACCUCGACUUUCCUAAUGGUGGGUAUUCAAUACACUAAUUAAUAAGUUUUAGUGUCAAGGGUGGGAUUUCUCUCCCCUCCAUAAAGAAGAAAGCUGGGAAGCCAAACAUAUCUGGCACAUGCAGGGUAGUCAGUGGUAAUUAUUAGAACCCAGUUAGAUUUAGGGUUAAGCUUAAGGUUGAGGAAAAGUUUGAGGAUAAGAUUAGAGGUAAGGCUGGUAUCAGGCUAUUUUUAUGAGUCAAUGUGAUUGAAUCAUAAAACGCCCAGAUAUUUUGGUUAAAUGUUUCUCUGGUUGUUCCUGUGGUAGUAUUCUUUGAUGAGAUUGAUAUUUAAAUUGGUAAACUGGGUAAAGUAGAUUUCCCCAAUGUAGAUGGUCCCUAUCCAGUCAAUUGAGGGCAUGGAUAGGAACAGUAAGCUGGCCCUCUCCCAAGUCAAAGGGACCUCUCUUCCCUUCUGGUUUUCAAACUAAGAUACUAACUUUUCCUGGGUCUCAUGCUAGUCAGCAUGCUGACAGAAACAUUGUUUUCUCUCCUGGGUCUCUGGCUUGCUGGCUCACUGUGGAGAUGCUGUGAGGGGUGGCCUCUUAUAAUCUUUCUCUCCCUACCCUUCCCCUUUCCCUCCCACUCUCCUUUCUCUCCCUCUUCCCUUCCCCUUCCCCCUUAUUCUUGCUCUCUCUCUCUCUUUCUCCCUGUCUUUCCCUCCCUCCAUCCCUCAUAUGUAUGGAUUCAUUUUAGUCUGUCUCCCCAGACAACUGACUAAUACAAUCAGAACAUCAUGAGAAUGAGAUUGGAGUCCCAGUGUGAGUAGAACUGGACUGCAUUUAGGGUUGUGGUGAUGCAGUAGAACCAUGGAACUUGGGUGCUGUUGAGGUUGACUUUGACCCAGAACUUUGCUUGGUGCAAGGCAAGGGGGAGAGAGAGAGGCAAACUAUCUGGAAUUGUUCCUAACCUUAAUAUUGUUGACAUGACCUUUAGCAAGUGGCCAGAACCCAUCACUGAGUGACCAUGUACCAAGUGAUAUUUUCUAUACUUUUAUUCAUGUAACAAAAGUAGCGAUCAUUGUUUUCAAAUCUCAGUGCUAGACUACGUUAAUUCUUGUGGCUAGUACUUCAUUUAAUCAUUUUAAAACAGAUAUUACCCCCUAUUGAAUUUUUACAAAGUCAGAAACUGAGGUCAAGUUUGAGGAAGGGUCAAGAAGAAAGGAAAAUUUAAUUAUUUUAAAGUAAAUAUCACUCCCUCAUAACUUUUAAAACAAAAUUAUAAACUGAAUUCAAGACUAACUAAGGGUCAAGAGCGAAUAACCAUGUCCAACAACCCAACCCUGUCUCCUCCCCUCUAACAGCACAGUAGUGAACUGUGAGACAGAGUUUCACUCUGUGGCCUAGGCUUGCUGAGAAUGUAUAGUAUAAUUCAGGCUAGCUUUGAACUCAAGGCACUUCUCCUGACUCAGCCUCAUGAAUAGUUCAAUUAUAGUUUUGAGGCACCAUGUCUGGAUAACAUGCCCAAAUUCUUAAAUGGAAGAGUAGUGUUUCAAUUCCAAAAUCAUUUUGGGGACAAAGUUCUAAAUGGAUGGUAAAGAAUUGGUUCUGUCCUCCAGAGGAGGAGGCCCACCUUCGCCUAAGUUGGGGCUCAGAAAAUGCUCCUGGCUAGUUGUAAGAGGCCGAGAAGUUGGGUGUUCUUGGGCAUCUGUGAAACCUUCCUCCUUGCCCUGGGCCAUAAUUUAUAGCUCACUUCAUGUACAAGGCUCCAGCAAGGCACACUUGCUUUCCAAAAGAGAUUUUACCUUCUCUGGUCCAAGCCACACACAGCCUUCUAGUCCAUUUCUGUUCUGUGAUAUCAGUAAUGAGUUAUUUCCUUCCUUAAGAACAGCCCCUACUGGGAUCUACCCAGUGAUGCAAUUUCUUUUAUUCUUUUUCUUUCUUUCAAAAGCCUCCUCCCAGAGACACAUAAAUGCUGGAUUCAUUAUAUCAAUUCUCAGGUAGAAGCCUGUGUUAAAGAGGCUUCGAUCGAUCUUUUAAAUAAAGCUGGCAAGAGAUUUCACUUACUCUGGGCUUUCUGUUCCCUAAUGUAGUCAGGCUGGCUUCUCCUCCUGGCUCAGCUUUACCAAGGAGCUGGGCACCUCUUUGCUCCCACCUGCUAUGGGUUGCCUCAUAACAAACAAACCUAGAAUUCUAACAGUCCUUUUAUCCGCAGAUUUUUAACUCUCACAAGGAAAAAGACAAGUUGUUCAAUGUCUACUUCCCUGCUGGGAGAAAUUGAGAAAAAGAAAAAUGAGAUAAAUUAAAUUAAAGAAAGACUCUAUUCUGAUUCCUAGGCAUUGCUUCCUCCUUCUGUGGGCUGGAGAUACUUUGGCCACCAGAGAAAGCCCCAGUGAUGCCCUUGCCCUAAGCCCAGUCUUUCCCUUCUCAAAUCCUUCAGAAUGGUUUUGUCCUCUAGCCUUAUGUCUCUUCUAAAGUAGCCAGGCAGCUAUGACUUCUGCACUGAUCAUCAAACUUGAUGGAUGAAAACUUUUGUAGCUGCUCUGCCUCUUGCCGGAUUAGGCAAGGUCUCUCACUACUCUGGGUCACAGUUCCCACAGUCUAUGAUGGAAUUCAAGGUGCAAAACCCACAACUGUGGUACUUUGGCACAUUCAGUAUCCAAAGGAAUUUGAGAAAUCUUAAAUUUUCUGACCUACCCAUGUAGCACAGUGAGUCAUAUGAUUCCUACAUGAGAAGCACAUCCUCUGUGCCUCACAUGUAACAGAAUAUACCUCUACUACUUUUCAUCCUCUAUUAUAUUACCCCCAUGAUUGUCCAUCCUUCAUCACCCUACCAUAAAAACAUUUGAUGUCUUCAUUUCGUUAUAAAAACUACCAUGUCAUAUAAAACUUACACUAAAUAGAUUUGUAUACUUUUUCCUUAAUAACCUGACUUUUGCUUAAAGGGGCUUCAGUGGCCAUGGAUUUAGAGCAGUAGAAAGAACAGAUAUUCUUCUUCUGUAUAUGUGCAAUUGAUCAAUGACUUAAAUCUAGGCUCUUGAGAUAUCCAUUAUGAAUUAUAACACACAAGUCACAAAAGAGGACAAAUGGAAGUAUCUAGUGAGACUCUUUAGGGAACCCAACAUCUGAUUCACCCUGCAGUAAGCAUCACAUGCAAUAUCCUCAAGAUUUCUCUAGCCUGUGUCCUGACUUUCUGUACUCAUUGUGACCUGGCCUUUGAGGUAGCGUUUACUCAACAAAGUGAAGUAGCCACUCAGGAAACAAGCUGAGGCAGAACUCCCCUUAUGCUCCCCAGGAAGUUCCCACUGGCCCUCAGAGAAGAUGAUGAUGGCUCCCUACUGCCAGUGACCACCAAUGCACAUCUCCUGAAAUGGUACAGAAACUGCCACUUCUCAAGAUGUGGGAAUCGGGUGCCCGGGGCACUCACGUGGCUCAUAUUUAUAACUUCUUGGUCCUUGACUAUGGGCCAAAUGUUACAUUCACCGCUAAUUUCCUAUUAAUUAGGUGCUGCAGUUUCUCAGCUAAAUGAAUAACCAGCCAGACAGGAGCCCUGAAGUUUAAAAAUACCAUCAGCUAUGGGUGUUAAUAGAAGCUGGGUAAGGAGGGGCUGAAGGCUAAGAGGAGAACCAGGAGAGCUGCUUCUGAAAUAACAAGAUUAUUAUGUACUGACCUUAGUGUGUCCUUAGUAGACUUCUAAGAGCAUCUCUAGCUCCUCUGGAUAAGAACAGCAUGAGGGAUCAUGGAUGAUCUAGGCAAGGUGGGCAACGGACCCUGCUGGCUUUUCAGCCACUGUCUCUCCUGCAAUGGUCUCUGAAUAGUUGACCUGUGUCACUUGGUCCUGUCCUACUUGUGGGCAGCUACAUGUAUAACUCUCUCCUUUCAUCUAAGGAUACUAAAAUACUUUCUUCAGGGUAACUGAAAUUCCAGGUCAUUCCAUAAGGGAGGCAAUGGCCACAACUAAGAUUGGAAACAUUUCUAGAAUUCUUUAACUGUUUACUAGAAGCCUUCAAGUAUUUUCUUCUCUUUUAUAUUUACAACCCAAUGAGGGAUAGAGGCCACCUACAAUGGAGGGAACCAAGACUUUUCAAACUUCAGUGCCUUGGUUGAGUCAAAGAUCUCAGGAGUGACAGAAAGAGGCUAGGUCACCCUCACACACUGGAAACCACCCUAACAAACCAACAUGAUGAACCUGUCUAUAAUCUUCUGAGUCUACAGUUGAGCCCAAAACAUAGAACCAGCUUCAGAAAUCUGGACAGGAUGAGAUAUGUCUGGAUAAGAUAAGAUAGAUAAGAUAAGGACAUGAGACCAUCAAUCAUGAGUCUAGCUUGUUUCUAGAAAAACUACAUAUUGUCAAGAACAAAGAGCUGCCAUCAAAAUGCUUCUAUUCAAACCUAGAUGUCACUCCACUAUGUUAGAAUUGAGCAAGGCAUUUUAUCCAGUCUCCCUCGUGCUAGUAUGAUAAUACUAGCAGUCAUCCUAUAAUGGUAGUAAUGGUCAUGACCACCUCAUUGUAUAUCCAUGGGGCAGAGAGUGGGGGAAUGGGAUGGCUCACAAAUGUACUUUGCAGAUAUUCUAGCCUUAUCCCAUGAGUCAAGCAUGAUGAUUCAAGCACCACCAACUCUAAUGUCUCAUCCCGCUGUCCCUCAAAGGUAAUACCUGAAUCAUCAUCCCAGAUAUGUUUGCUCUAGGGAUGUCUCAGAUUACAAAGACUGAUUCUUUGAUAAAUGCUUUAUAGGACAUUUCCUCUAGCACUAUGAAUGUCCUUCCAUACAUAAUUAAACUGAAUUGGUUACUGAAAGAAAUGAUAAAAACCCACAGUGGGAGGAAGACAGGAACUUAAAUAUUUUGUUAUGGUCCAGUUGUGUGUACAGAUACUUCCUGAUCUCUGGGGAACAGCAGGGGAACAGGAAAAGCAUAGCCCCACUGCUAGAGAGUAUCCCACUGAAGAAGUAAUGAGGAAUGGCCCAGGGACCCAGAAACAAUCAGUGAAGACAGACUAGCAAGGAAAGAAAGCUUUUUUUUUUUUUAAUUUUUAUUAGAUAUUUUCUUCAUUUACAUUUCAAAUGCUAUCCCAAAAGUCCCCUAUACCCCCCCCCCCCGCCCUGCUCCCCUACCCACCCACUCCUACUUCUUGGCCCUGGCAUUUCCCCUGUACUGGGACAUAUAAAGCUUGCAAGACCAAGGGGCCUCUCUUCCCAGUGAUGGCUGACUAGGCCAUCUUCUCAUACAUAUGCAGCUAGAGACACGAGCUCCUGGGGGUACUGGUUAAUUCAUAUUGUUGUUCCACCUAUAGGGUGGCAGACCCCUUCAGCUCCUUGGGUACUUUCUCUAGCUCCUCUAUUGGGGGCCCUGUGUUCCAUCCUAUAGAUGACUGUGAGCAUCCACUUCUGUAUUUGCCAGGCACUGGCAUAGCCUCACAAGAGACAGCUAUAUCAGGAUCCUUUCAGCAAAAUCUUGCUGGCAUAUGCAAUAGUGUCUGCGUUUGGUGGCUGAUUAUGGGUUAGACCCCCAGGUGGGGUAGUCUCUACAUGGUCCGUCCUUUCGUCUUAGCUCCAAACUUUAUCUUUGUAACUCCUUCCAUGGGAAAGAAAGAUUCUAAUGGUGUUUUUAUUGGUGCCCCCUGCAGGCCUGAUCCAGCAACAAAAUAAUAGUCAAAACAAAGAUUCUAUCCCAAACAAGGAUGGAGAUAUUCUGCCUGGGACUUCUAGGAAGGUCUCAUUCUGUGCCAAGGAGGUGCCUUGAAUUCACUUUAAAACCUCCCAAGGAUAUACUUAAAGCUUGCUUACUCCUAGAUUAUUAAGCAUAUAUCCUAGAAUUCCCGUAGAAUACUCUGACUCCAGAGCCUGCAGCUCUCACGUAAGCUUCUUUGUGUUAUUUAUGCCCCUAGGAGGAAAAUAUUUCCUUAAACAGAAAGCUCUACACCUUCUGCAAGUAUCUUAGAUUCUCUCACAAUAAUAGAGCAAGCCCUUAUUAGCAGACACAAACUAGCCUGUUCUUUAAAAACAAAAAAACAAAGCAAAACAAAACAAAACAAAAGGCCAGGCAGUAGUGGCACAUGCCUUUAACCCCAGCACUUGGGAGGCAGAGGCAGGCAGAUUUCUGAGUUCCAGGCCAGCCUGGUCUACAGAGUGAGUUCCAGGACAGCCAGAAACCCAGUCUUGAACCCCCCCCCCCCCAAAAAAAAGAGUGGACAUGAGAGGACUUUUAAGAAUAAAUGCAGAUAUAAUAGCAUAGACAAUGACAGCUCCUAGUGGAGUCAGGGAACAACCAAAGGGUCUAUAAAUAUUUACACCAAGAGCUAAGAAUCUGCAGUGACUGAGGUCACAGUGAUUAAAAACAGGCUUUGGCCUGUGGACUUCACUUACAGGCUUCUUUCUGCCCUUCCCCCUGACUCCUCACACAGACACACACAAGACCAUCAGAGGUGGAGAAGAUGACAAGUUCAGCUUUGAAGAGGCUGCUUCCUUUCAAGGAUGGCUCAGCUGGACUGUCCUAAACAAUGAGCAUGGGGAAGCUAUGAGAUUUCAAGGGUGUUCUUGCAAGAAUCUGUAAUGCAGAUGACUACUUUCUCCAGCACUGACACUUGCUUAUAAAUGAAGAAACUACUACAGUGAAUAAUGCCCCUUAUGAGUGGCCACUCCAUCUUCUAUCAGAGUAUUUUCCAGUCACUGAUCUUCCGUCCCUGGAGGAAUGAGGCACAUCCAUCAAUAAGAAGGGGUAAAAGGUCCUCUAUAAGUUCCAGCAAUAUGGAGGCUUAGAUUUAUAACUAUAAUGGCUCAUUGAGUUCCAAGUCAAUAAAAAGCUAUUUUUAAUACUAUU
Molecule: long non-coding RNA, 37983 nt
Organism: Mus musculus (house mouse)
Lineage: Eukaryota; Metazoa; Chordata; Mammalia; Rodentia; Muridae
Product: predicted gene, 40537
Exons: 3
Source: RefSeq, a predicted model, not a curated record